CCUACGGGAGGCAGCAGUGAGGAAUAUUGGUCAAUGGGCGAGAGCCUGAACCAGCCAAGUCGCGUGAGGGAAGACGGUCCUAUGGAUUGUAAACCUCUUUUGUCGGGGAGCAAAAAGGCCUCGUGAGGCCACAAGUGAGAGUACCCGAAGAAAAAGCAGCGGCUAACUCCUUGCCAGAAGCCGGGGUACUACGGAGGAUGCGAGCGUUAUCCGGAUUUAUUGGGUUUAAAGGGUGCGUAGGCGGACUGGAAAGUCAGCGGGAAAAUCGAGAGGCUCAACCUCUUUCCGCCGUUGAAACUGUCGGUCGUGAGUGGGCGAGAAGUAUGCGGAAUGCGUGGUGUAGCGGUGAAAUGCAUAGAUAUCACGCAGAACUCCGAUUGCGAAGGCAGCAUACCGGCGCCCGACUGACGCUGAGGCACGAAAGCGUGGGUAUCGAACAGGAUUAGAUACCCCAGUAGUC
This 460-nucleotide ribosomal RNA is filed under the name uncultured bacterium. RNAcentral describes it as "partial 16S ribosomal RNA". It matches the Rfam family "Bacterial small subunit ribosomal RNA", at positions 338 to 795 of the family's 1533-position model. The record is from RNAcentral.